CUACGGAGUACAAUUUUACUUAUUACCUUUUAUAGACUAUUUUAAUUUUUAUUAAAAUGUACUUUAUUGUUAAUAGUCCAAUAGAUAUAUCUAGUUUUGAGAGAAUUUCUCUCAAUUGUUCUUUGAAAACUGAAUAGUAAAGAUAUUACAACGACAUCAAAAUAAAUGUCAAUUUGUUUUGAAACCGAGUGAAUUAUUUUAAUUAAUAAUUUAUUGAAAUGUCUUUGAAUACAUCAAACAAUUAGGUAAAUAUUGUUACAA
RNAcentral lists this unclassified non-coding RNA (261 nucleotides) under Mycoplasma sp. RNAcentral describes it as "16S-23S ribosomal RNA intergenic spacer". Lineage: Bacteria; Bacillati; Mycoplasmatota; Mollicutes; Mycoplasmatales; Mycoplasmataceae. The record is from RNAcentral.